Callithrix jacchus (white-tufted-ear marmoset) is the source of this 6027-nucleotide long non-coding RNA. RefSeq lists it as uncharacterized. The record is from RefSeq and is a predicted model, not a curated record. NCBI's taxonomy places the organism in Eukaryota, Metazoa, Chordata, Mammalia, Primates, Cebidae.
UCAAAAUAUGUCUUUUUCUUUUUUUUUUUCCUUCGAGACAGAGUCUUGCUCUGUCACUCAGGCUGGAGUGCAGUAGAAUAAUCAUGGCUCACUGCAGCCUCAAAGAGCUCCUGGGCUCAAAUGAUCCUCCUGCCUCAGCCUUUUAACAGGCAAAUGCCACCAGGCCUGGCUUUUUUACUUUUCUGUAGAGACAGGGUCUCACUCUGUUGCCCAGGCUGGUCUUGAACCCCUUGGCUCAAGCAGUCUUCCCAUCUUCAUCUCCCAAAGUGGUGGGAUUACAGGUGUGAGCCACUGUACCCGGCCAGACUUGAAUCCUUUCUUGGUGUGCGAAAAAGUAGGUCAUAGGCCGGGCACAGUGGCUCACGCCUAUAAUCCCAGCACUGUGGGAGGCCGAGGCGGGUGGAUCACGAGGUCAAGAGAUCGAGACCAUCCUGGUCAACAUGGUGAAACCCCGUCUCUACUAAAAAAACAAAAAUUAGCUGGGCACGGUGGCGCAUGCUUAUAGUCCCAGCUACUCAGGAGGCUGAGGCAGGAGAAUUGCUUGAAUCCAGGAGGCGGAGGUUGCGGUGAACUGAGAUUGUGCCAUUGCACUCCAGUCUGGGUAACAAGAGCGAAACUCUGUCUCAAAAAAAGAAAAAGUAGGUCAUAAAGAUUCUAACAAAAAACUUGCAGUGGUUCUUUUUCUUUGCUUGUUUUUGGAGAUAGGGUCUUGCUCUGUUGCUCAGGCUGGAGUAAGUGCAGUGGCACAAUGUACAGAUUACGUACAGAUUAUUUAUUUAUUUUUUGAGGCAGGGUGUCAUGCUGUCACCCAGUCUGGAGUGCAGUGGCAUGAUCAUGGCCCAUUGCAGCCUCAACAUCCCAGCCUCAAGUAAUUCUCCCACUUCACGGCUCACUGCAGCCCAGGCUAAUUAUUAUUAUUGUUGUUGUUAUUAUUUAAUUCAUUGUAGAGAUGGGGUCUUGCUUUGUUGACCAGUCUGAUCUUGAACAGGGGAUCCUCGCACCUUGACCUCCCAAAGUGCUAGGAUUACAGGCAUGAACCACUACACCCAGCCACCUUCUGUAUUUAACUAAGUCUGGGGGAAAUUUUUGGUGAGACACUGGGUUGUCUAAUGCUUGUUGGGGACAACUCUUUGAGGACUUCAAUUGCUAACGUCUCAUCAUGAGAAUUUAAGAACUUCUAUGAAGCAUCCUCAUCAGCCCAUUAAACUAGAUGGCCACAGAAACUCUAACGUGGCAAAUCUGAUGCUUCCUGGGGUCACAGCUAGGACAGUGAGUUAUGGAUUCAGACCAUGGCUGGGUGCCGUGGCUCACAACUGUAAUCCUAAUGAUUUGGGAGGCCAAACUGAGAGAAUCACUUGAGGCUGGGAGUUCAAGACCAGCCUGAGCAACAUAGUGAGAUCCUGUCUCUACAAAAAAUUUAAAAAACUGCCAGGCAUGGUGACAUGCACCUGUAGUCCCAGCUACUUGGGAGGCUGAGGUGGGAGGAUUAUUGCCUGAGCCCAGAAUGUCGAGGCUUCAGUGAGCCAAGUUACACCACUGUACUCCAGGCUAGGCCACAGAGUGAGACCCUGUCUCUUAAAAAAAAAAAAAUAGAUUCAGGCCACAGCAUCCACAGGCACCAGCAUUUGAGAAGUCAUUUCUCUCCAUGGCCUGGCACUGGUUUUCAUCUUGGUAUUAGAAAUGCAUCAGUGCUCCUUGGGGAAGGAGCCAGCUUCACUUGCACCUGCCCCGUGAGCUGGGAAAAUGCACAUUCUUUUUUUUUUUUUUUUUUUGACAGAGUCUCACUCUGUCGCCCAGGCUGGAGUUAAAUGGUGUGAUCUUGGCUCACUGCAACCUCUGUCUCCCGGAUUCAAACAAUUCUCCUGCCUCAGCCUCCUAAGUAGCUGGGAUUACAGGUGCCCAUCACCACACCCAACUAAUUUUUUAUAUUUUUAGUAGAGACAGGGUUUCGCCAUGUUGGCCAGGCUGGUCUCGAACUCCUGACCUCAGGUGAUCUGCCUGUCUCGGCCUCCCAAAGUGCUGGGAUUACAAGUGUGAGCCACUGCGCCCAGCUGCAAAUGCACAUUCUAAGAAGGAGCCAGAUAGGGCCCGAGUCCCUCUAUGACGCACAGACCGUGAUAAAGGUGUCAUGUUGGCCACAGAAAGCGCGAUUGUUUUCUCCUCCUGCAUUGGGCUGGAGGUUGAAGGCGUGACCUGCUCUGUUGUCCCAGGAGCCAGGGCUUUCUCAGAGGCCCUUUUCUUGUAAUGUCCAAACAACCACGCAGAAAAUGCUAAUUGAUUAUCCUCCAAAAAAUGAUGCUUUGGGCUUCAAAGCCCCAUGACAACUUUCAUCUCACCAAGAAACCCUAGGCUAAGCUUGUGUAACCCUCAGCCCGCGGGCUACAUGUGACCCAGGAAGGCUUUGAAUGUGGCCCAACACAAAUCCUAUGCUUUCUUAAAACAUUAUGAGAUGUUUUUGUCAUUUUUUUUAGCUCAUCAGCUAUCACUAGUGUUAGUGUAGGUUAUGUGUGGCCCAAGAAAAUUCUUCUUCUUCCAGUGUGGCACAAGGAAGUCAAAAGAUUGGACACCCAGCGGGGCUUUUCCAAUUUAGCCCUCCCGCGUUUCCCAGAGCAGGACAGUCCCUCACACCAGUCUCAAAGGCCAGCAGGGCUUUUCCUCACAGACUGAGAGCUACGGUCGCUGCCACGUUCAAAAGUGAUGGUAACAUAGUCAAGACUCUUCCUUAGGGCUUGAGGGCUCCAGCAAACACCUGCCAUCUGUCUGCCUGCUUUUUCUGUCACUUCUGAAAUUCUGGUCUCAUGCCCACGGUCAAAGCAACUAACUUCUGCGGCUACUAGAACUUUCUUUCUGCUUUUCUCACUCUGCGUUUGCUGCUGCCGUUGAUGAAACCCACCUUCUUAUUCCUAGGCACGCUCAGAGUGAGGAUCCGUAGGAGGUUUUGCUUCUCAGGUCAUAUACCCCCAUCUUUCCUCUGCUUCCGACCUAUUUUUCUGCGUCCUUGGUACUGUGGUCUUAUCCAGAGAAGUAACAUUUUGUCUUGCAUUUGCAAAAAUCUCUACCUUUCCCCACAAGGGGAUUUCAGCACAGUUGGCUAUUUUAACAGAUAACAUGGCGCAUGUACCACACAUUCCGUUCCCGAGUCCUUGAAAGUAAUUUUUCGCUUUUUAUGGGCUAUCUUGUUCUUCCCAGCUACAUUUUUGGGGAGUACAGCAGAAUAACUUGCUACUCUUUUUUUUUUUUUUUUUUGAGACAGAGAUUUUGCUCUUGUUGCCCAGGCUGGAGUGCAAUGGCACAAUCUGGGCUCACUGCAACCUCCACCUCCCAGGUUCAAGCGAUUUUCCUACUGAAUAGCUGGGAUUACAGAGACAGGAGUCAAGCAAGGUGGCUGACACCUGUAAUUCCAACAUUUUGGGAGGCUGGGACAGGAGGAUGACUUGAAGCCCAGAGUUUGAGACCAGCCUGCGCAACAUGACCCAGACAGACAUCUGAAUAUGCAACAUGCAAGCGUGGGGUGAUGGCCUCAGAACAGAGAUCAGGAGUGAGAGGGUGACCAGCCAUGGAGGAGAAGUCAUUGCAAACCCUGGCACGGUGUCGCGCAGGCAAGUGAUGCCCUUCACGUGUGAGUACCGAGAGAAAAAUUAUAACUUGCAUGCUAGUAUUGCACCCCUGAAACUAUCAGUGCUAUAGACUAGCAUUUGCCACAUUUCCAGAGCACCCCAGAUAGUCACAUUUUUAGGGCAUACAUUUUCUUUUUGUUGUUGUUUUUGUUGUGUUUUUUGUUUUUUUUGAGACAGAGUCUGGUUCUGUCUCCCAGGCUGGAGUGCAGUGGCGUGAUCUCGGCUCACUGCAACCUCCACCUCCCAGAUUUAAGCUAUUCUCCUGUUUCAGCCUCCCAAGUAGCUCGGACUACAGGCAUGUGCCACCAUGUAGGGCAUAUACUUUCUAUAAGAGUGAAAAAUUUCGGUCGGGCACGGUGGCUCAAGCCUGUAAUCACAGCACUUUGGGAGGCUGAGGCGGGUGGAUCACGAGGUCAAGAGAUCGAGACCAUCCUGGCCAACAUGGUGAAACCCCGUCUCUACUAUAAAUACAAAAAAAUUAGCUGGGCGUGGUGGUGCGCACCUGUAGUUCCAGCUACUCAGGAAGCUGAGGCAGGAGAAUUGCUUGAAUCUGAGACGUGGAGGUUGCAGUGAGCCGAGAUCGCGCCACUGCACUCUAGCCUGAUGCCUGGUGACAGAGCGAGACUCUGUCUCUAAAUAAAUAAAUAAAUAAAUAAGAGUGAAAAAUUUCCUCUGUUGGUCUGCCUUAAGAUUUUGCUAAAUGCAACAAUAUGUUUUAACUUUUCUUUCCUCCCUUCUCCUCCCUCCCUCUCCCUCCCUCUCUCCCUUCCUUCAGUCCUUCCUUCCUUCCUGCCUCCUUCCUCUCCCCUUCCCCCUUCCUCUUUCCUCCUUCCCCUUCCCUCUUCCCUUCUCUUUCCUUCUUUUUUCUCUGUUUCUUUCUUUCUUUCUGAGACAGGGGCUUGCUCUGUUGCCCAGGCUGGAGUGCAGUGAUGUGGUCUUGGCUCACUGCAGCCUCAACCUCCCUGGCUUAAGCCAUCCUCCCAGCUUAGACUUCUGAAUUGCUGAGACCACAGGCACGCACCACCACCCCUGGCUAAGUUUUUUUUUUUUUUUUUUUUUUUUUUUUUUUGUAUUUUUUUGUAGAGACAGGGUUUCACCAUGUUGUCCAGGCUGGUCUCGAACUCCUGGCCUCAAGCGAUCUGCAAGCAAAAAAGCUGUUUGCACUUUUCAAAGGGGAAAAGAAUUGCAGACUCAAGACUGAAACAUAUUCUUUGUUGUAGGUGUGCGUGUUUGCUCACAGCCCUUACACAGCUUGGGUAAGGAGCCCAAUUUUUAGUGGAAGAAAGGGAAACUGCCAGUUUCAACCGCACAACUGAGAUAUUGGAUAAGUUACUUUACAGUUUGGUGUUUCCAUUUCCUGAUCUGUAUGACAGAUACAAGACUAUGUACCCAUUUGGUUUAGUUUGGUUUUGGGCUUAACUAAUCUCCGGAUACCCUUUUUACUGUGAAAUGUCUGUGAUCUGCCUCUUAGGUUACACAGAUGCACUCAUUUCUUUGCAUUGCAGUUUUUUUUCUAGUAAAAGUAGUUACGGUUUCUUGUCUUCCUUUUUAGAAUAUCUUAAGUAACACCCUACAUCCAAGCUCCCAGUAGGUUUCCAGUUCUAACAUGAUGCAGAGUUCCAUAGUGCCCACAAGUAUUGAUGUAUUAGGGCAGUGUGAACCUGGAAGCCACUUCGGAAAAUUGUAAGGUAAGAUGACAUUAGAAAAAUGAUUCAUCAAAAUGCCAAAGUGUGCAAAAGCAUAUCCUCCCUCGCAUUUCUGCACAAUUUGUGUCAAGUGGUCAAGCAGUUCCUAAGCAACGGUGCGGAGGCGGUUGCUAGGCUGGCUUUUCAUGUGUCCACGGAUUCAGCCGCUAAAUAGAUGGUAAGCCCAACUGCAUUCACACAGUUUAUUGCUUAAAGAGACAGUAAGACCAUCAUGGUGUAAGCUCCCACAUCCCUAGUCCCACGGGAUGACACUAAACCAGAGGGGCUAGGUGACAUUGAAGGGCCAACUCAAAAAUGACUGCCAAGCCAUUUUGUAAUAGACUUACACAGAAGCCUGCAGGAGGGAUGCAAGUGUGGGCAAGGUAGAAAGCCCCAGGCCAGGCCGGGCGCGGUGGCUCAAGCCUGUAAUCCCAGCACUUUGGGAGGCCCAGGCGGGUGGAUCAUGAGGUCGAGAGAUCGAGACCAACCUGGUCAACAUGGUGAAACCCCGUCUCUACUAAAAAAAAAAUGCAAAAAUUAGCUGGGCAUGGUGGCGCGCGCCUGUAAUCCCAGCUACUCAGGAGGCUGAGGCGGGAGAAUUGCCUGAACCCAGGAGGCGGAGGUUGCAGUGAGCCCAGAUCGCGCCAUUGCACUCCAACCUGGGUAACAAGAGCAAAACUCCGUCUCAAAAAAAAAAAAAAAAAAGAAAGAAAAAAAGCCCCAGG